AGCACUCUCUGCAGAAAGCGCCAGGUGAUACCACUUCCACUAAUCAACCACUCUAUAAGCCUCUGGACCUUCAGUCACUCAUUGCCAGAUCAUAUUUUCAGCCAUAGCGUUGAUUCAUCUUGUCUCCUGCCUGCUUACCUGCUUACCUGCCUACCUGCCAAUCUAUUAGUCCUACCUGUUGGUGUUUUGAGCUCUCGCUGUUUGCCUGCUUGUCGGUGCUCCGGUGCUCCCCGGUCCCAGCCGUGAGCAUAUCACCGUGCAACGAGAUCACCAGCGAAACGCAGACCGCGUAGUACACACGGUGCUGCCAUUGCAUGGAGGACGCCGAAGAAGGGGGCUUCGCUUACCGGCCACCGCCACCUCACCUCACGGAGCCAGGGAUUCUCCAGCGCGUCACUCCUCCCCCCUGCUAUUUAUUCACCGUGUCACAAAUGAAUAUUGACUUUGAAUUGACUUCCCACAGUCUGAGUCGUGCGUUUGGGCUUGAUCUCUGUUGUUGCCGUAACACCGUUAUUUAAAUAUGCUGUCAAUGUCAUGACAGCUACAGAGCUUGUGUUUCAACGGAUCCAUCUCCGUGACAAGAUGAAGACUCCUUCCACUGAUGAAGACUGUGUGAUAUAUCUGAAAUCUGGAAACAGGCCUGCCUGUGGGUGUACCUUGAGUCUCAAUUAAUCUGUCACUAUAUCUAAGGUGAAGAAUGAACAUUGAUAUGUAAGAAUUUUUAAAAGAUUCUGCCUUUAUUUGAUUAAAAAAAAUCUCAUUUCUACCCCGUUUGUGUGAAUAUUUAACAGUAAUAACAAUAUGAAA
Molecule: long non-coding RNA, 807 nt
Organism: Acanthopagrus latus (yellowfin seabream)
Lineage: Eukaryota; Metazoa; Chordata; Actinopteri; Spariformes; Sparidae
Exons: 2
Source: RefSeq, a predicted model, not a curated record